GGGUGCGCAGGAGUCCCCACCCCUCCCCCGCGUGAUGGUGGAGGAACAGAGAGCGCGCAUCCCCUCUAAGUGCUGGCGCCACCUUUAAGUCCGACGCAGGGAACGGGGAAAAACAGCAUUGGACUUCUUGCUUGGUCGUGGUCCGCUCCGCCCUAGCACCAGGACUAAGCCUGGGGAGUGUUCCAAACAGUGUCCCAGCGGGAGGCCCCGCCUCGCCUGGCAAGGGCCUCGCGGCCGCUCGGAAUCUCCCUGAGGGCAGCGUCCUGCUCGGACUUUUGGGGACUGAAGCGCCUACCGUGGCCUCGGCCAGGCACUCGGGUCUUUGAGGCAGCCGCUCUGGGAGCUCCAGAGCGAGGGCGAGGCCAGGAGUUUGAGACUGAGGCCUUGACCCCGAAAACACCCUUCCUCGUCCUGAUGCCAGCAGCUUGCAGCCCGUUAAUGCUGGAGCGGGAGGCAAGAAUGUCACCUUCUCCCGGUGUUUGCCCAGAUCCAAUCAGGACUUCAAUUUCCUGGAACUGUUUCCUGGACAGUCUCUGCUCCACCAUUUGAAAAGAACUUCAAAGGACUAAUAUUAACCCAUACUGGGUUCAGGAGAGGGAUAACUCUACUUUCUACCUCCUCACUUCCCAGCGGGGCUCAGUGCUCACAGAUGGAGCAGACGUUUUGAAGAGCGUGAGAAUGAAGACAAAUGAGAAAGCCAGAAGGAUCUCUGGUCCCUGAAGGCAUCGUGAAGCUGCUAUUCCACCCUACUCUACCUACCUCCAGAUUUCUUGCUAUGAGGAAAGAUAAAAGCUAUUUAGUUGAACUAGUAUGGGGGAGAGGUGCCCUCCUGACCUAAGUUUCUGAUUCUACAGCUUGGGGCAGGGCCCUGAAGCCUGCAUCUUUAGGACUGGCUUCAAGUGAUUCUCAUGCUGGUAACCCAAGAAUCAUCCUCAAGGAACUCUUCUUUGGCAUGUGUAAAUAGGAGAUUUCCUGAUAACUGGACUGCAAGGGUAGCAAUUGAAGUAAUAAGUUACUAGGAGUAUAUAGAUGCUUACAAAUGACAGGGCGCCUAGGUGGUUCAGUUGGUUAAGCGCCUGACUCUUGAUUUUGGCUCAGGUCAUGGUCUCAGGGUCGUGGACUUGAGCCCUGUCUCCAGCUCCAUACUCAGCCUGGAAACUGGUUGUCCCUCUCCCUCUGCUCCCCAAACUCUUGCUCUGCAAUCCACACGUUCCCGAGCACUAGGUCAAUGCACCCCCCCAUACGAAGGUACACAAAAUAACAGUUGAGUAAAUGCACAAAUGAAUAAGUGAGCAGUGUUGAAGAUAGUCUUUAUUUCACAGAAGAUUGUAGGUAUUUGUUUCCUAGGACUGUCAGAACAAAUUGUCACAAACUUGGUGACUUAAAACAAUAGAGAUAUAUUUUGUCAUAGUUCCGGAGGCUGGCGGUCUAAAUCAAGCUGGGCCACGCUCCCCUGGAAGGCUGUAAGGAAGAAUCCUUCCUCUUCUCCUAGCUUCUGAUGGCUCCAGCAAACCCUGGUGUUCCUUGGGCUAUAGCCCCUUCCCUCCAGUCUUUCACUCCAUCAUCACAUGACCUUCCCCUCUGUGUGUGUCUUGUGUCCUCUUCUCUUCUUAGAAGGACACCAGUCAUUGGAUUGAGCACCCACCUUGGUCCGCUAUAACCUAACCUUUAACUAAUUACACCUGCUAAGACUUUAUUCCCAAAUGAGGUUACCUUCAGGUAAAUGUGAAUCUGAGGGAGGACACUAUUCAGACCACUACAUUUUGUUUGCAGGACAUUCUUCGGAAUGCCUGAAAAAAAAAAAGUUUGUUUGUUUGUUUGUUUGUUUUUUGCCAAUACAUCUUUAACAGUUCAUAGGAUUUGUAACUUAAUUGUAUUUGCCAAAACAUAACCCGGAGAACUAAAAGAAAUUUGGGUGUGGUCAUAUAACCAAUAUCAAUUAUGGUUGAAGUAUCCUGGAAUACGAAGGGCAGCCAAAAAAACAGGAAUAGGAAAAUGCCCAAAUUUUUAUAAAAAAAAUAAAGACAAAUCCAGGAACUGA
Long non-coding RNA from Mustela lutreola (European mink), 2041 nucleotides. RefSeq lists it as uncharacterized. The transcript is spliced from 3 exons. NCBI's taxonomy places the organism in Eukaryota, Metazoa, Chordata, Mammalia, Carnivora, Mustelidae. The record is from RefSeq and is a predicted model, not a curated record.